GUUAGUUUAUAUGUUAUUCUCUUUUUCUUUUUCAACAUCGUUUCAUCUUUCUAUUUUUCACUGUUGUCGCUAUGUUUCAAGUUUAUGCUUUCUAUCAAUUUUUUUAGAAACAUUCUUCUCCUUUUCUCUAAUACAUAAUCAUUUUUCUCUCUCCAGAACUUAGGUUGAAGAUGCCACUGGAGUACUUCUAUUUGCCUGUUCAAUUCAUCUCAAAAAAAUGGAAAAUCAGAGUGAUGGUCUCUCGGAUUUGGGACUACAUCUAAAGUUGUUCUGGGAAUGAAAGCUAUCCUUGUGGAUGAAAAGGGAAAAAGAAAGGAUACGUCAUCUUCUUACCACUGAUGAAGAACGUGAAAAUGACAUUGGUAAUUACUCUUAUGCAAAUUAUCAUUCUUUUGUGUUAUAUGCUGACUUUGUUAUUUUACAUGUUCGUUUUGUUGAUUGAUUUACAUUCAUGCAUUUUUAUGUUCUAUAGUGCUCACAUACAUGUGAUUUUAAUAAUACAUAUUUUAAUUAGA
Molecule: long non-coding RNA, 515 nt
Organism: Raphanus sativus (radish)
Lineage: Eukaryota; Viridiplantae; Streptophyta; Magnoliopsida; Brassicales; Brassicaceae
Exons: 2
Source: RefSeq, a predicted model, not a curated record